Scylla paramamosain (green mud crab) is the source of this 2358-nucleotide long non-coding RNA. RefSeq lists it as uncharacterized. The transcript has 2 exons. Lineage: Eukaryota; Metazoa; Arthropoda; Malacostraca; Decapoda; Portunidae. The record is from RefSeq and is a predicted model, not a curated record.
UAAGGAGAGAAGAUUGAAUGAUCGGUUUAAAUACCAGUCAGGAUGAGCAGAUGGACAGAGGCAUGCAAGGGAAGGCUCAACACACAGGGCUAUGUAUUCCACCAAUCUUUUUAUGGCGACUGUAAAAGGGAAAAUAUAAACCCACGCGAAUAAACAGAUAUUAGACGUGCACGAGCCUGAGAUGACAGACAGUGCAAACAGUAAGUCGCUUCUGAGACAACAGGGCGAGGCAGCUUAAUCCCAACGUCCAACAGUCCGGAGGCGACAGAGAAAAACACAGCCCUUCCAUUCCCCUCCCUCCCAUGCCAGGGUCCACCCAGCACCAGCCUCCCGCUCUGGGGCAAACCCGAGACAAUUUUUUUUUUUCUUCUUCUUCUUCUUCUUCUUCUUACGGACGUGUGUACCGUUGUAGCGGACCACGAGCAGCGACACCAGACAGGCUCUUUACCGUUUUUAUUAUGUAGGGAAAAUUUAAGGCACAACAUAUGGUAAUGUGCGCUCUCCAGCCCGCCCUUCACAGCGGAGCACUGAGUCCACUGUGACAUCCAUCCGGAUUACCAGUUUCCUUCCUUGGGUUUUGGGAAGCUCACUGGACCACACAGCCUCUGCUUCCGUUCAGACUAACUGAAGACGUGGAUUCGCGGGUAAACUCGUUAAUUGAUCUACGGCGUUUCGUAUUAUUACCGUGGAGACAGGAAGUGAAAACCGAUUUAUUGAAGGAUAAAAAAAUGUUAGAGGUUGAUAAUUUGUUUUAGGGUAUUUCUACGAUAAGUAGCAAACCGCUUUGGAACGAUGAGAGAAUGAAGAAUGGUUAUCUGAGUUUCUGCAUAUGGUGCAGAAACAGGAAGGCAGGUGAUGUGCUGCUGUUAUGAAAAAAAAAAAAAAAAAGCGCCUACUAGUCACUGCCUUAUCCAUCAUAAAUACGCAUCUGCUAAUGAGUGCAAGACAACGUGCCCCUCUUUAAAUACAUAUUGAUUUUUUCCUUCAUGUGUUUUGCUCGAUGUGUUGUGGCGAUCAUUGUCUACACCUCACACUUUCUUCGGGGGUGAUGACUUUUACAGAAAUGUGUGUAAUAAUAACUGUUAAAAAGAAGACUUAUGGGCGAGAAUGCCUGUGUUCUGUAAGAAGGCGACGCCUUUUAGAAGUUUACUUAUCUUUUACAGAUUCGUCUAUUCUUAUGUGACUACUCGCAAUUUCCAGUUACUAAACCAUAACCUUAUCUAAACUCAAGUGACGACGAGUUUUAUAUUAAUUUUGUACUGUCUUGUUUCCGUCGACUUUGAUUUUUUCGCUGACUAAUAAAUAUCGGACGACCUGGAGCGGCACGAAUCCUCCACAGUUAUUUCCAUUACUGUGCUCUGGUUUCUCACCGCGAGGCUGGCCGCAAUUAAUUGUGUGAGUCACGGAGAGGAAGCGGCGGCGUGAGACAGCGAAGAGUACACACACUACAGGAGGUCCGGCUGACUGACCCAUCUGCCCGCCUGCCUCACUAGCGGGAUGGAAGGCGAUAACGGGAAGACAGCGUCCCAAUGUGUGCCUCCCGAUGGGGCGGCGGAUAUGACCGAGUCGCUUGCCGACUAGCUAGAUGAGAUUGCGGUUUGGAUUCAGUAUGAUAUCUGGCCGAGGUUACUGGAAACCGAAGCGCUCAGAGAGCAACGCUAUGACCUUGAGAACGUAGGGACACGUACACAUAAUGAGCCGUCAUGGUGCUUUCCGUUCGUAGCAGCGGCACAAAACUGGCGCGCACCGCUAAGAGGACCCCGAUAAUCCCCCAAAGACAGGCCGGCCGCAGCUCAUUCCCGGGAACUGUACAUCACCACUGCUUACGUUUUUGUCUAACUGUUGAUGUCCCCACGGAGACAAGCACUGGAAGGAGGGAGAGGAGGACGGGAGGAGCAGAAUGGAAUAUGGAAAAGAGCGAAGAUAGAUGAGGGUGCAGAAAAGGGGCAAGAGGAAAGCAGGAGGUCGAAAAGGUGAGGCGGCGGCAUGUAGCGGUCACGGGAGGGAUCCGGGAGGAGGUAGGAGAAGGAGGGAAAGGUCGGAGAGAGUUUGUGCACGAAUGGACAAAGAGGAAGAAAGACGGAGCACCCAAAACAGCUUAACUUUGAACCCCGACAAGUCAAGAUGCAAGAUAAUCUACGUAACCAUCUUCAUCUUCCAUCAUUCCAAGCAACAAUAUUCCCACGCACAGAGAAAAAAAAAAAAAUUCUUGAAUGACGUGGCAGUCCUCAUGAAUACCAUUGUUGUGUUAGAGCUGUUUACUUUUGUGCAGCGUUGAAAACUGUAUGCUUGAAUCGGUGUGACGAGCGAAUGUGUGCAUGUGUACUAAACUACGUAAUAUUUUCUUUACUUCAGAAA